CCCCUAGAUGUUCUGGGCCGCACGCGCGCUACACUGACGGAUUCAACGAGCUUACAACCUUGGCCGAAAGGUCUGGGUAAUCUCCAAAAUCCGUCGUGAUGGGGAUAGAUUAUUGCAAUUAUUAAUCUUCAACGAGGAAUGCCUAGUAAGCGCAAGUCAUCAGCUUGCGUUGAUUACGUCCCUGCCCUUUGUACACACCGCCCGUCGCUCCUACCGAUUGAAUGGUCCGGUGAAGCGUUUGGACUAUGGUUUUCUGAUGGUCCGCCGUUGGAUUACCGUGGGAAGUUCGUUAAACCUUAUCAUUUAGAGGAAGGAGAAGUCGUAACA
RNAcentral lists this ribosomal RNA (327 nucleotides) under uncultured eukaryote. RNAcentral's name for it is "partial 18S ribosomal RNA". It matches the Rfam family "Eukaryotic small subunit ribosomal RNA", at positions 1470 to 1796 of the family's 1831-position model. The record is from RNAcentral.